GAUGAACGCUGGCGGCGUGCCUAAUACAUGCAAGUCGAGCGUACAGACGAGGAGCUUUCUCCUCUGACGUUAUCGGCGGACGGGUGAGUAACACGUGGAUAACCUACCUAUAAGACUGGGAUAACUUCGGGAAACCGUAUCUAAUACCGGAUAAUAUAUUGAACCUCAUUGUUCACUAGUUAAAUACGGUUUUUCUUUCACUUAUAGCUUGAUCCGCGCCGCAUUAGCUAGUUGGUUAGGUAACGGCUUACCAAGGCUACGAUGCGUAGCCGACCUGAGAGGGAGAUCGGACACACUGGAACUGAGAAACGGUAGAGACACCGACGGGAGGAAGCAGUAGGGAAUCUUCCGCAAUGGGCGAAAGCCUGACGGAGCAACGCCGCGGGAGUGAUGAAGGACUAAGGAUCGGAAAGCUCUGAAAGUAGGGAAGAAGAAAUGUGUAAGUAACUAUGAACGUCAUGACGGUACCUAAACAAAAAGCCACGGCUAACUACGUG
Molecule: ribosomal RNA, 497 nt
Filed under: uncultured bacterium
Lineage: Bacteria
Description: partial 16S ribosomal RNA
Rfam family: Bacterial small subunit ribosomal RNA
Source: RNAcentral